This 495-nucleotide ribosomal RNA is filed under the name uncultured bacterium. RNAcentral describes it as "partial 16S ribosomal RNA". It matches the Rfam family "Bacterial small subunit ribosomal RNA", at positions 28 to 507 of the family's 1533-position model. The record is from RNAcentral.
GACGAACGCUGGCGGCGUGCCUAAUACAUGCAAGUAGAACGCUGAAGGAGGAUCUUGCUUCUCUGGAUGAGUUGCGAACGGGUGAGUAACGCGUAGGUAACCUGCCUGGUAGCGGGGGAUAACUAUUGGAAACGAUAGCUAAUACCGCAUAAGAGUAGAUGUUGCAUGACAUUUGCUUAAAAGGUGCAAUUGCAUCACUACCAGAUGGACCUGCGUUGUAUUAGCUAGUUGGUGGGGUAACGGCUCACCAAGGCGACGAUACAUAGCCGACCUGAGAGGGUGAUCGGCAACACUGGGACGGAGACACGGCCCAGACUCCUACGGGAGGCAGCAGUAGGGAAUCUUCGGCAAUGGACGGAAGUCUGAACGAGCAACGCCGCGUGAGUGAAGAAGGUUUUCGGAUCGUAAAGCUCUGUUGUAAGAGAAGAACGAGUGUGAGAGUGGAAAGUGCACACUGUGACGGUAUCUUACCAGAAAGGGACGGCUAACUACGUG